This 48-nucleotide non-coding RNA is filed under the name Schistosoma mattheei. Lineage: Eukaryota; Metazoa; Platyhelminthes; Trematoda; Strigeidida; Schistosomatidae. The record is from RNAcentral.
AUCCAGUUGAGCAGUCUCAAAUAGGACGAAACACGUGUCAAACCGGAU